Molecule: long non-coding RNA, 649 nt
Filed under: Takifugu rubripes (torafugu)
Lineage: Eukaryota; Metazoa; Chordata; Actinopteri; Tetraodontiformes; Tetraodontidae
Description: lncRNA (ENSTRUG00000030965.1)
Source: RNAcentral
UUCCUCUUAUUUUACAACAGCCUUUUGUAAUUUUGUGAACAUCAUAGACUGGAUGUGUUUGUGGGAUUCAAUUACUGAGUAGUUCAACAAAAAUAGUUUUUGGGGUUACCCUUGAAGUUUUGCUUUGAUUUAAAUCCAUUACUUUUAUGUUGUAAUAAUGCGAUGUAGUAUUGACAGACUUAAAAGCUUUAUCUACAAUAGUUUUUUUCUUUUCAGGCAGAUGCAAUUACUCUGUUCUAUUCAUUGCUGAUGAUGUUGUCAUGAUUUGUCUCUUUUGAACCCCGUUGUAGUGGAGACAGGACUUUUAGUGGAAGGUGGAUGUUUAGGUGAAUUUUGUCAGGUUAGGGAUAACAAUGCGCCUCCUUAUGUGGAAGUCUUCUCUGCUCAUGAGUGGGAGGAUAUGAUGAAAGACAUACCUGUGACCUACCUGACACGUAUGACCUGAUGUCAAGAACAGGCGGCAGAGUGAGAGCGAUACUUAAGCUCUGUUCCACGUGCCAAUGAGAGUCUUUUGGACCCAAAGGCGCUACUGUUGAGUGCCUUCAUAGGAGGGGAGCUGAAGCUUUCACAGUCCUGACCAACCAUUGUCCUGAUUGUCUUGCCAGGCUCCUUCAGCUGAUGGCUUCAGAAGGCUUUGUGUUUUGUUUUU